UCUCCGUAGGUGAACCUGCGGAAGGAUCAUUAUUGUAUAACCGAGGCGCAAGGGCUGACGCUGACCCGAACUGUCGUUCACUCCCGAGUGCCGCCCCACACAUCCAUCCCACCCCUCUGUGCACCACCGCGUGGGUCCAACUUUGGUGUGUUUGUCGGGGGGCUCUCGGUUUCACACAAACUAAGAAUUCAGUACAGAUUGUAUUUUUUGUUUUUGCGCUCGCGCAAUCGAUAAAACUUGCAAAAACGGAGCGCAUGCCUCUCGCAUCGAUGAAGAACC
This 279-nucleotide unclassified non-coding RNA is filed under the name plant metagenome. Its description in RNAcentral is "partial contains small subunit ribosomal RNA, internal transcribed spacer 1, and 5.8S ribosomal RNA". The record is from RNAcentral.